AUGGCCCAGGAAUUUGGGCUACCAAAGGGACAAGAAUGAAGACUAUUAGGGUUCCCUAUAUCCAGGUAGCCAGUGCUGAGCUGGGGGUAGGGGCAGAGUUACGAACCAGGAAUGAGUAAGAGCCAUGGGAGGCUGGGCUGAGGUGGGAGGCUGGCAGCCACCCCUCAUCUCUGCUCCACUGGGGCCCUAGCCAGUCUGAGUGCCCACCUACCAACUCCCUGUGCGCCCACUGGGCUGGAUCAUACAGGAGCAGUUCUCCAUCAGGGGUGGGGUUGGGGGGGCUACUGCCAGCUGGCCGAUGAGACACCCCCAGAGCUGAGAGUUCAGAUGCCCAUGCCAGUUAGAGGGUGGCGUUCAAGGCUGCCACCCCCACCCUGGCGGCUGUGUUUUCCUGCUGUUCUCUGCAAUUCCAUUUAAAUACCUCCCAGAGCCAGCCCAGCAGCAGCCUGCCUGCUUCCGGCACCAUAAAAGGAGAGAGGCUGAGAAUAGCUGAGCCAUGACGCAGCAAGGAGCUUCCCCACGCAGGAAGGCUCUGUGCGCUGAGCCUGCCACCACCCAGGGCCCACCCUGCCCUACACCUGCUCAGCCCCUGCCCUGAAGGAGAGGUGGGGACCAGAGUCCCUGGCUGGAGACUGGUGACAUUGUCCCUGCCAUUGGUGGCUUUGUGACUCUUAAACCAGACCUGCACAAAGAUCUUGUAUCAGGUAUUUGUUUACUUGUACCCUAGAGCUCUGGUUCCAGGAGAAAGCAGAUGGCCCCCCGGGUGGGGGGGCCCUGGGCAGUAGUAGCUCCUCAGUCCUGUAAAUAAAUCCCUAGGAACAGCGUUCAGGCUGAAGGGUUCGAGCUCUGGGCUGGGCGUACACCAGCGCCAAGAUGCAGACAGGUAAGAAUGCUUAGAAUUCCUGUGCCUGACAUUUCUCAUUCUGUCACAAAGGGGAGUGGGGUACCAAUAGGGAUGGAGCACAGUGCCCUGAAAGAGUUCAGAUUCACACAGAGAACCAGGAAGGGCUUCCUAGAGGUGGAGCCUGUGGGUAGAAGGCAAAGAGCACAGGUUGAGCAGGGGAGGCCAGUGCUGUGUCCCCUCCACUCUUUUGGCUCCCUAAUGGCCUUCAAGCGUGGUUACCCUCCUCUGGCUGGUGACUCCUCCGUUUUCUCUCUGGGCGGGGAGGGUGUUGGAUCUGGACCUCUUUCUUUCUCCGAUGUCUCCUCCUACCAGAGGCAGCUCAUCUGAGUUCUCAAGCCUUUGCCCUGGGCUUUGAAACUGACAACCAGCUCCCAGUGAGUGACCUGUGGAGCUGCAGACAUGUGGAGAUCCAAGUUGUCUCCCCACUUCCUGUAGUUCUCUAGCUAAGGCAAGCAGGUCUCUACCAUUGAUGGAUCUCACAGGUACCAGGCACGACUCUCGGUCCCUCGACCCACUGGAAAAGGUUGUGCAUGGGUUCAGGGUCUGCCCCAAACUGCCCAGUUGAGCAACCCCCCC
This 1480-nucleotide long non-coding RNA is filed under the name Mus musculus (house mouse). RNAcentral describes it as "long non-coding RNA chr15:74678823-74680303". Lineage: Eukaryota; Metazoa; Chordata; Mammalia; Rodentia; Muridae. The record is from RNAcentral.